UACGUAGGGUGCAAGCAUUAAUCGGAUUUAUUGGGCGUAAAGGGCGCGUAGGCGGGGAGGCCAGUCAGAUGUGAAAUCCCGGAGCUCAACUCCGGAACAGCAUUUGAAACUACCUCUCUAGAGGAUAGGCGGAGAAAACGGAAUUCCACAAGUAGCGGUGAAAUGCGUAGAUAUGUGGAAGAACACCAGUGGCGAAGGCGGUUUUCUAGCUUAUACCUGACGCUGAGGCGCGAAAGCAAGGGGAGCAAACAGG
RNAcentral lists this ribosomal RNA (253 nucleotides) under uncultured bacterium. RNAcentral's name for it is "partial 16S ribosomal RNA". It matches the Rfam family "Bacterial small subunit ribosomal RNA", at positions 524 to 776 of the family's 1533-position model. The record is from RNAcentral.